GAGGCGUAGCUCAGCCGGUCAGAGCGUUCGGUUCACAUCCGAGAGGUCGAGGGUUCGAACCCCCCCGUCUCC
Molecule: transfer RNA, 72 nt
Filed under: bovine gut metagenome
Rfam family: tRNA
About the family: Transfer RNA (tRNA) molecules are approximately 80 nucleotides in length.
Source: RNAcentral